GUCACAAGCAGAGAGUGUGCAGUGCGGGGGAGCAGGAGGCAUCCUGUGCUGAAGGUCAGAAAGCCUGACUGUCCACCUGCCCACCGUGCGGCCCUGGGAAGUCACUUCACCACACAACGCGCGGUAUAGUGACUGCCAGACUAAUAAAUACAAUUUACAGUAUGUGCCGACGUGCUAUGUGUUAUGGCAGGAAGACACACAUGGAAGCCAAGAAGUCAGACUUCCAGGAGUCUCGAAUCUGAAGAAAUUUCCAAACAGUUUUGGACAACUAAUAACUAUGGCAAAGCCACAUGCGCCAUGAGAGAGGCCGUCGGGCUCUCUAAUCCACAGGUCACCCAUAGUUCCAACAGCUCUCUCCAUUCUGCC
Molecule: long non-coding RNA, 366 nt
Organism: Hippopotamus amphibius kiboko
Lineage: Eukaryota; Metazoa; Chordata; Mammalia; Artiodactyla; Hippopotamidae
Exons: 3
Source: RefSeq, a predicted model, not a curated record